RNAcentral lists this ribosomal RNA (497 nucleotides) under uncultured bacterium. Its description in RNAcentral is "partial 16S ribosomal RNA". It matches the Rfam family "Bacterial small subunit ribosomal RNA", at positions 28 to 507 of the family's 1533-position model. The record is from RNAcentral.
GAUGAACGCUGGCGGCGUGCCUAAUACAUGCAAGUCGAGCGAACGGACGAGAAGCUUGCUUCUCUGAUGUUAGCGGCGGACGGGUGAGUAACACGUGGAUAACCUACCUAUAAGACUGGGAUAACUUCGGGAAACCGGAGCUAAUACCGGAUGAUAUUUUGAACCGCAUGGUUCAAAAGUGAAAGACGGUCUUGCUGUCACUUAUAGAUGGAUCCGCGCUGCAUUAGCUAGUUGGUAAGGUAACGGCUUACCAAGGCAACGAUGCAUAGCCGACCUGAGAGGGGGAUCGGCCACCCUGGAACUGAGACACGGUCCAGACUCCUACGGGAGGCAGCAGUAGGGAAUCUUCCGCAAUGGGCGAAAGCCUGACGGAGCAACGCCGCGUGAGUGAUGAAGGUCUUCGGAUCGUAAAACUCUGUUAUUAGGGAAGAACAUAUGUGUAAGUAACUGUGCACAUCUUGACGGUACCUAAUCAGAAAGCCACGGCUAACUACGUG